AAAUGAAUAGACGGGGACCCGCACAAGCGGUGGAGCAUGUGGUUUAAUUCGAAGCAACGCGAAGAACCUUACCAAGGUUUGACAUCCCUCUGAACAGGUUAGAGACAGCCUGGGCCUUCGGGACAGAGGAGACAGGUGGUGCAUGGUUGUCGUCAGCUCGUGUCGUGAGAUGUUGGGUUAAGUCCCGCAACGAGCGCAACCCUUAUAAUUAGUAGCCAGCGGGUAAUGCCGGGGACUCUAGUAAGACUGCCGUGGAUGACACGGAGGAAGGCGGGGACGACGUCAAAUCAUCAUGCCCCUUAUAUCUUGGGCUACACACGUGCUACAAUGGGCCAAACAAAGUGAAGCAAAGCGGCGACGCCAAGCAAAACACAAAAAAGGGCCCUCAGUUCGGAUUGCAGCCUGCAACUCGGCUGCAUGAAGCUGGAAUCGCUAGUAAUCGCAGAUCAGAAUGCUGCGGUGAAUACGUUCCCGGGUCUUGUACACACCGCCCGU
RNAcentral lists this ribosomal RNA (495 nucleotides) under uncultured bacterium. RNAcentral's name for it is "bacterial SSU rRNA". It matches the Rfam family "Bacterial small subunit ribosomal RNA", at positions 903 to 1397 of the family's 1533-position model. The record is from RNAcentral.